Molecule: long non-coding RNA, 349 nt
Filed under: Homo sapiens (human)
Lineage: Eukaryota; Metazoa; Chordata; Mammalia; Primates; Hominidae
Description: HSALNT0317696
Source: RNAcentral
UGAGAGAGGUCAGCGUGAGCCCCUUGCCUCACACCGGCCCCUCCCACGCUGAGAGAGGUCAGCGUGAGCCCCUUGUCUCACACCGGCCCCUCCCACGCUGAGAGAGGUCAGCCCGAGCCCCUUGCCUCACACCGGCCCCUCCCACGCUGAGAGAGGUGUGAGCCCCUUGUCUCACACCGGCCCCUCCCACGCGGACAGAGGUCAGCGUGAGCCCCUUGCCUCACCCCGGCCCCUCCCACGCUGAGAGAGGUCAGCGUGAGCCCCUUGCCUCACCCCGGCCCCUCCCACGCUGAGAGAGGUCAGUGUGAGCCCUUGCCUCACACCGGCCCCUCCCACGCGGACAGAGGUC